This 253-nucleotide ribosomal RNA is filed under the name uncultured bacterium. Its description in RNAcentral is "partial 16S ribosomal RNA". It matches the Rfam family "Bacterial small subunit ribosomal RNA", at positions 524 to 776 of the family's 1533-position model. The record is from RNAcentral.
UACGGAGGGUGCAAGCGUUGUUCGGAAUCACUGGGCGUAAAGGGCGUGUAGGCGGUCCGCUAAGUCUGAUGUGAAAGCCCCGGGCUCAACCUGGGAGGUGCGCUCGAGACUGGUUUGCUGGAGUUCGGGAGAGGAGCGUGGAAUUCCCAGUGUAGAGGUGAAAUUCGUAGAUAUUGGGAAGAACACCGGUGGCGAAGGCGGCGCUCUGGACCGAGACUGACGCUGAGGCGCGAAAGCGUGGGGAGCAAACAGG